GCAUGAGCAACCUGCCUGCUUCAGGGGAAUAACACAUAGAAAUGUGUGCUAAUACCGCAUAAGACCACGCGUGGGCAUCCGACGAGGGGUAAAAGAUUAGUAUCGGAAGCAGAUGGGCUCAUGUCCUAUUAGGUAGUUGCGGGGUAACGGCCCACCAAGCCAACGAUAGGUAGCCGACCUGAGAGGGGUGAUCGGCCACACUGGGACUGAGAUACGGCCCAGACUCCUACGGGAGGCAGGCAGUGGGGAAUUUUGGGCAAUGGACGCAAGUCUGAACCCCAGCAACGCCGCGUGAAUGAUGAAGGUUUUCGGAUUGUAAAGUUCUGUGAUGGGGACGAAGAAAGUGACGGUACCCCAAUAGACAAGCUCCGGCUAACUACGUGCCAGCCGCGGC
Molecule: ribosomal RNA, 394 nt
Filed under: uncultured bacterium
Lineage: Bacteria
Description: bacterial SSU rRNA
Rfam family: Bacterial small subunit ribosomal RNA
Source: RNAcentral